AGCAGCCGCGGUAAUUCCAGCUCCAAUAGCGUAUAUUAAAGUUGCUGCAGUUAAAAAGCUCGUAGUUGAAUUUCGGGACCAUCAUGUUGGUCAUGCCUCAGUACGUACUGGCAUUGUUAGUUUCUACCUUCUGACGAACCAUGAUGUCAUUUAUUUGGUGUUGUGGGAAAUCAGGACUGUUACUUUGAAAAAUUGUGUUUAAAGCAGGCUCACGCUUGAAUGCAUUAGCAUGGAAUAAUGAAAUAGGACGUUUGAUUCUAUUUUGUUGGUUUCUAGGAUCGACGUAAUGAUUAAUAGGGAUAGUUGGGGGCAUUAGUAUUCAAUUGUCAGAGGUGAAAUUCUUGGAUUUAUUGAAGACUAACUACUGCGAAAGCAUUUGCCAAGGAUGUUUUCAUUAAUCAAGAACGAAAGUUAGGGGAUCGAAGACGAUCGGAUACCGUCGUAGUCUUAACCAUAAACUAUGCCGACUAGGGAUCGGAUGAUGUUAAUUUUUAAUGACUCAUUCC
Molecule: unclassified non-coding RNA, 506 nt
Filed under: uncultured Glomus
Lineage: Eukaryota; Fungi; Glomeromycota; Glomeromycetes; Glomerales; Glomeraceae
Description: SSU rRNA
Rfam family: Eukaryotic small subunit ribosomal RNA
Source: RNAcentral